GACGAACGCUGGCGGCGUGCCUAAUACAUGCAAGUUGAGCGCUGAAGGUUGGUACUUGUACCGACUGGAUGAGCAGCGAACGGGUGAGUAACGCGUGGGGAAUCUGCCUUUGAGCGGGGGACAACAUUUGGAAACGAAUGCUAAUACCGCAUAAAAACUUUAAACACAAGUUUUAAGUUUGAAAGAUGCAAUUGCAUCACUCAAAGAUGAUCCCGCGUUGUAUUAGCUAGUUGGUGAGGUAAAGGCUCACCAAGGCGAUGAUACAUAGCCGACCUGAGAGGGUGAUCGGCCACAUUGGGACUGAGACACGGCCCAAACUCCUACGGGAGGCAACAGUAGGGAAUCUUCGGCAAUGGACGAAAGUCUGACCGAGCAACGCCGCGUGAGUGAAGAAGGUUUUCGGAUCGUAAAACUCUGUUGGUAGAGAAGAACGUUGGUGAGAGUGGAAAGCUCAUCAAGUGACGGUAACUACCCAGAAAGGGACGGCUAACUACGUG
This 497-nucleotide ribosomal RNA is filed under the name uncultured bacterium. RNAcentral describes it as "partial 16S ribosomal RNA". It matches the Rfam family "Bacterial small subunit ribosomal RNA", at positions 28 to 507 of the family's 1533-position model. The record is from RNAcentral.